Macaca fascicularis (crab-eating macaque) is the source of this 117-nucleotide unclassified non-coding RNA. It matches the Rfam family "Metazoan signal recognition particle RNA". Rfam says of the family: The signal recognition particle (SRP) is a universally conserved ribonucleoprotein. It is involved in the co-translational targeting of proteins to membranes. Lineage: Eukaryota; Metazoa; Chordata; Mammalia; Primates; Cercopithecidae. The record is from Ensembl.
GCCAGGCAUGGUGGCUCAUGCCUGUGAUCCCAGCACUUUGGGAGGCCGAGGUGGGUGGAUCACCUGAGGUCAGGAGUACGAGACCAGCCUGACCAACAUGGUGAAAACCCAUCUCUA